This 963-nucleotide unclassified non-coding RNA is filed under the name Hevea brasiliensis (rubber tree). Lineage: Eukaryota; Viridiplantae; Streptophyta; Magnoliopsida; Malpighiales; Euphorbiaceae. The record is from RNAcentral.
AGGAUACAUUUAGGGGAAGAAUAUGCGAGUGCCCAGUUGUGAAAGGUGUACAGUACAAAGGAGAUGGCUAUGCAUCUUGUGAAGGUUUUGGACCUGCAAGGUGUACCAUAAAUAAUGGAGGAUGCUGGUCGGAAUCAAAAAAUGGGCUAACUUUCUCGGCCUGCUCAGAGUCCCAGUUAUCAGGCUGUCAGUGCCCAGAAGGCUUUCGCGGGGAUGGUCAUGAUAAGUGUGAAGAUAUCAAUGAAUGCAAGGAACGUACUGCUUGCCAGUGUGAUGGUUGCUCCUGUAAGAAUACUUGGGGUUCAUAUGAGUGCAAGUGCAAGGGAGACCUGCUUUAUAUUAAGGAACAAGAUGCCUGCAUUGAAAGAAACGGAUCUAAAUUUGGAUGGUUCCUCACCUUUGUGGUCGUAGCUGUUGUUGGAGGAGCUGGUGUUGCUGGUUAUAUAUUUUACAAAUACAGGCUCCGGUCUUACAUGGACUCAGAGAUCAUGGCUAUCAUGUCACAGUACAUGCCACUUGACAACCAACAUAACAAUGAAGUUCCAGCUGAAGUGCAACCUCUGCGACAGGGCACAUCUGUAUAAGCUAAAGCAAUCGGUUGUACAAAGAAUGUUCCUGUUAGAGGAUUAAAUCCAUUAUGCUGUAAAUUUUAGAUCCAAUGGCAGCUCUUACAUCAGGCAGGGAGAGGUCCACUUGUUGAUCGACAUAACAUUAUCAGGGCAUUACGAGUUUCCGAUAUAGAAAAAUACUACACAGAAUAUAUAUUUUUUUUGGCUGUAAGUAAAUAGUUGAGGUGUAAAUUUAUCUUCAAGGAUUAAUAAGGACAUACAUGGAUGAAAGGUAAGAGAAUAAACAAAAGGAGGAUAUGUGUAAAAUGAAAUAGUACUUGUUUAUCAUAUGUUAGUAAAUUUUAGAAACACGAUGUUCCUAUUCUAAAAAAAAAAAAAUAUAUAUUCUGUGUAG